This 422-nucleotide ribosomal RNA is filed under the name uncultured Faecalibacterium sp. RNAcentral's name for it is "bacterial SSU rRNA". It matches the Rfam family "Bacterial small subunit ribosomal RNA", at positions 355 to 794 of the family's 1533-position model. The record is from RNAcentral. Lineage: Bacteria; Bacillati; Bacillota; Clostridia; Eubacteriales; Oscillospiraceae.
UGGGGAAUAUUGCACAAUGGGGGAAACCCUGAUGCAGCGACGCCGCGUGGAGGAAGAAGGUCUUCGGAUUGUAAACUCCUGUUGUUGAGGAAGAUAAUGACGGUACUCAACAAGGAAGUGACGGCUAACUACGUGCCAGCAGCCGCGGUAAAACGUAGGUCACAAGCGUUGUCCGGAAUUACUGGGUGUAAAGGGAGCGCAGGCGGGAAGACAAGUUGGAAGUGAAAUUCAUGGGCUCAACCCAUGAACUGCUUUCAAAACUGUUUUUCUUGAGUAGUGCAGAGGUAGGCGGAAUUCCCGGUGCAGCGGUGGAAUGCGUAGAUAUCGGGAGGAACACCAGUGGCGAAGGCGGCCUACUGGGCACCAACUGACGCUGAGGCUCGAAAGUGUGGGUAGCAAACAGGAUUAGAUACCCUGGUAGU